RNAcentral lists this long non-coding RNA (2636 nucleotides) under Homo sapiens (human). RNAcentral describes it as "HSALNT0343938". The record is from RNAcentral. Lineage: Eukaryota; Metazoa; Chordata; Mammalia; Primates; Hominidae.
GUCAAUGGAUUAUAACACUGAGGAGAUUCUUGGAUGAUUCCUCUGAGAGGGGAAUAACACAACCCAGAAAAUGUGUUGAGCAUUCAGGUGUAAGUAGAAGAUGUCUGUGGUUCCUCUACCACAUUGUGAAUCGUAAGUAACCAUCAGAAGGCCCAUCGCCACCUGCUUGCUUAGGAUUUCUGACCCAGGACAGUGAAUGGAGAGCCUUGCCUUAGCUUUGAAUUUCCAAAACACCCAGGCUCAUGGUACAGUAUAGUAUAUGGGGACAGAGAUGGUAAGUGUCAAAAUUUGUAUCUUUCCACAUAAGGCUUGGAUGGUAGGAGGUUUUUAAGAAGAAAAGCAUACCUGGAAAAAUUUUAUAUUCUAAGGGUUAACCUAUAGAUUAAGUAUCUUAAGUUUGUUUUUUCAUAUCCAUCAUUAUGAAGUACUUAGGUCCAGGAGAUCUGUUUGGAAAAACCAGUGAAGUAAUCAUAAGGACAAUUCUAGGAACAAAAUAUUUAUGCACCCCUAUUUUUUGAUGACUUAGACUCAUUAAGGAAUUUCAGCACAAAUGCACAAUUUUCUCAACAAAUAUUAUAAAAAAGAUACUGAAAAGGAUGGGAGAAGAGAAACAAUUGGGGAAAUAAGCAUUUGUAAGAACAUAAAAUGUUAAGAAAAGCUAAACACAUGAGAGUAUUUUAUUAACGCUUUCGUUCCCAUAAAGUAGGAGUUGAGGUCUAACAAGAAUGUUAAACAUUAAAGCUAAAAUUUAAAAUUUGAGAUAAGAGAAAUCAAAUUGAAAAUAAAGGCUAAAACCAAAUUCUAAAACGUCUGUAAAGAAGCAGUAAAAGUUUCAGGCAAAAUGACAAAACCCAAUGGGAUGAGAGCCUGAAGCUGUUAUUCUAGAUGAGAUUAAGGAUAAGGAAGAAUUAAGAGCUAAAAAUAUGGAAGUAAGAAAAAGCUUAAAGGGGAAAAUUGUGAGAAAAUUUGAAAUAUCAUAGAAGAUAAGUCAUUCUGACAUAUUACCAGAAUUAUUCUUCAAAAUGGAAUAAUCCUAUGAUGAUUUGUAAAAUGGCCAUUCUUUAAAAAAUUUUACAUUGCAGUUACAGAAGGAUGAUUCGCUUGUAGUGGGGUGGGCCAUUGGAUAGUGAAAGGCAGGUCAGGGGUGUCAAGGUGCCCCAACCCAGUAUGUGCAGAUGGGAUGGUGGGAUCUAGGUAGACCCAUGAUGAGAACAGAGGGGACAACAUGGAGUCUUGUUGGAAAGGCAGACUUUGUGAUAGCUCUUGCUUGAUUUUAUAUCUUGGUGGACCAUCAGAUUCUGAUUUUAAUGCAAAUACAUUCCAUUCCUUUAAAUAUAUACACUCUCUUCCAUAUGUAUUAUAAAUAAAAAAGAACUUAUUUAGAAUAGCUCUGGGCUCACUCAUGUUUUUGUAUAUUACUGUAUCCUUUUGGAGCUGUUCUCCAAACUCUAGAGGCACCAUUCAGACAGAAGAAAUCAAUUUCAGACACGAUGGGAUAACAGUUUUCAACUCACUGGGCUGCAAGUUUGCAGAUGAUAGGCUUGGAUGGGCUUCUCACAGGGACAAAGAGGACCAGAGAAUUUAAGAGCCUGCUCAGCCAUGCUUCUUGCCCUGAGCCUGGAGCGCAGGCAUUGCCUUACUGAAGGUCAGUCUUCUGAUGACCCUGGAGAGAGGACCAGAGGGGCCUCAGGGAUACUGAAGAGGAGCAUCUCCUUUUGCUAGAGCUAGAGGCAAUUCUCCCUGGAAGGCAGGAAUCCCACCAUGGAGAAUCAACAUGUGGCCAAUCACUGUUCUUUAUGAAUGUACUUCCUUCGGAAUGGAUGAGAAUAACCACAGGAAAUCAUCAUUGAAUAGUAGCUUUAACACAGACUCCUAUAGAAUGGAUAAAUACCUUCUGUCAAGAACACUGCUCCGGGGCACGAAUCCCACUAAAGAGUUGGCUUCAGACACUGGGAACUAUCAAGCAGGUCUCUGGAAAAAUUGUAGAGAAAUUAUCAGUCCUUCACCUGACUUUAAAGGACCCUUCAGUUUGUAGAAGGGGCUCAGAAAAAGAGCUGAUGCAGGUCUUGGCACUGUGCCAGUCAUAGAUGAAGUUGCUCAUCCAUGUCACACUGCCCAACAUGCGUCCGUGGGCCAGAUGCAUGAUGCCCUGCAGAGUAUCGUAAUACUGAGUUGUUAAUUUCAUAGUCUACUAUAGCAUCAAAGAAUGGCAGAGGCAGCUCACAAGCAGGAGAAGACAGCUAGCUGUGAAGCAGUUAAAUGACUGUCUUCCCUUGUGAAUGGUGUUUCUGUCAGUUCCCCGAGUCGUUGUCCUCUGCAACUCUCAAGCUGUCCCUGCUGCUCUGGAGGCAAGAUGUCACUGAGGUGACUGUUGCCCACGGAGGCUUCAUGGCUGGCCCCUGCUUCUGCCACUGGACAAAAACAACCUAAGAGGCCAGGAAGUUUAUUCCUAUGAAAUGUUGCUUCUCCAAAGGCCAUCUCAACUCGAUUACACAUUUUCCAAAUAAAAUCUCUUAUAUAAAAGCUUUUCUUGGGGUUUAUCUUUCUCGAAAGUGAUAUAACUUCAGAUAGAAGCUGAUUUGACCAACCAAAUGACUUUGACUCAGUCUUCUGGUUGAUCAUUAUCAUGUAAGAAA